Molecule: ribosomal RNA, 759 nt
Filed under: uncultured Prevotella sp.
Lineage: Bacteria; Pseudomonadati; Bacteroidota; Bacteroidia; Bacteroidales; Prevotellaceae
Description: bacterial SSU rRNA
Rfam family: Bacterial small subunit ribosomal RNA
Source: RNAcentral
GAUGAACGCUAGCUACAGGCUUAACACAUGCAAGUCGCGGGGCAGCAUGGGGGUUGCUUGCAAUCCCCGAUGGCGACCGGCGCACGGGUGAGUAACGCGUAUCCAACCUGCCCUUCACCACGGGAUAACCCGGCGAAAGUCGGACUAAUACCGUAUGUUGUCCAUUGACGGCAUCCGAUUUGGACGAAAGGCUUGGCGGUGAGGGAUGGGGAUGCGUCCGAUUAGCCAGACGGCGGGGUAACGGCCCACCGUGGCUACGAUCGGUAGGGGUUCUGAGAGGAAGGUCCCCCACACUGGAACUGAGACACGGUCCAGACUCCUACGGGAGGCAGCAGUGAGGAAUAUUGGUCAAUGGGCGUAAGCCUGAACCAGCCAAGUAGCGUGCAGGAUGACGGCCCUAUGGGUUGUAAACUGCUUUUAUGCGGGGAUAAAGUGGCCCACGUGUGGGUUUUUGCAGGUACCGCAUGAAUAAGGACCGGCUAAUUCCGUGCCAGCAGCCGCGGUAAUACGGAAGGUCCGGGCGUUAUCCGGAUUUAUUGGGUUUAAAGGGAGCGUAGGCCGCGCCUUAAGCGUGUUGUGAAAUCCGGGUGCUCAACAUCCGGCUUGCAGCGCGAACUGGGGCGCUUGAGUGCGCAGAAAGUGGGCGGAAUUCGUGGUGUAGCGGUGAAAUGCUUAGAUAUCACGAGGAACUCCGAUUGCGAAGGCAGCCUACUGUAGCGCUACUGACGCUGAUGCUCGAAAGCGUGGGUAUCGAACAGG